This 46-nucleotide transfer RNA is filed under the name Schizachyrium gracilipes. RNAcentral's name for it is "partial tRNA-Leu". The record is from RNAcentral. Lineage: Eukaryota; Viridiplantae; Streptophyta; Magnoliopsida; Poales; Poaceae.
AAAAUCCGUCGACUUUAUAAGUCGUGAGGGUUCAAGUCCCUCCCCA